AGUGAACGCUGGCGGUAGGCCUAACACAUGCAAGUCGAACGGCAGCACAGUAAGAGCUUGCUCUUACGGGUGGCGAGUGGCGGACGGGUGAGGAAUACAUCGGAAUCUACUUUUUCGUGGGGGAUAACGUAGGGAAACUUACGCUAAUACCGCAUACGACCUACGGGUGAAAGCAGGGGAUCUUCGGACCUUGCGCGAUUGAAUGAGCCGAUGUCGGAUUAGCUAGUUGGCGGGGUAAAGGCCCACCAAGGCGACGAUCCGUAGCUGGUCUGGGAGGAUGAUCAGCCACACUGGACCUGAGACACGGUCCAGCCCCCUACGGGAGGCAGCGGUGGGGAAUAUUGGACAAUGGGCGCAAGCCUGAUCCAGCCAUACCGCGUGGGUGAAGAAGGCCUUCGGGUUGUAAAGCCCUUUUGUUGGGAAAGAAAAGCAGCAGGUUAAUACCCCGCUGUUCUGACGGUACCCAAAGAAUAAGCACCGGCUAACUUCGUG
This 492-nucleotide ribosomal RNA is filed under the name uncultured bacterium. RNAcentral's name for it is "partial 16S ribosomal RNA". It matches the Rfam family "Bacterial small subunit ribosomal RNA", at positions 29 to 507 of the family's 1533-position model. The record is from RNAcentral.